This is a long non-coding RNA of Aegilops tauschii subsp. strangulata, 599 nucleotides long. RefSeq lists it as uncharacterized. Lineage: Eukaryota; Viridiplantae; Streptophyta; Magnoliopsida; Poales; Poaceae. The record is from RefSeq and is a predicted model, not a curated record.
UUUGUUGCAUAUGUGAUCCAUCAGAACCAUGUGAGCCUAUCAGAAGUGGCAUAGUGAUGCGCAUAGCCAACCUAACAACAUAGAACGAGAUGACGAUGAUUAUCUUCGCAACCCAGUACCUGAGAAUGGGCAUGUUGGUGUUGAUGAGGAAAAUAUUUAUUUAGAGGAUGAACCUGUACCUCUUAUCAUGGUUCCUUGUUCCAAUAAAGAAAAGGACAAAGACUAUGUUCCUGAUCAUCAGAGCGAGGCUAAGAGCAAGGAUGAGAGCAUGUGAGAGGUUGAAGUAGAGGAAGAUGAGGAAUAUCACGAGGCAGUUCAUGCACCACACUUUGAAUAUGAUAAAUUAGAUCCUCCAAUGAACGAAGGAAGAAAAUAUACCAAUAUGGCAGAGUUUAAAUAGGCGCUUUCUCAGCAUGCAAUCAAACAUGAAUUUGAGUUUGACACCAAAAAGAGUGCACCACAUAGGUUUAGAGCUUAUUGUUCAAGAAGGGAUGAAGAUAAGUGUCCAUGGAGGACAUAUGCUUCUACAAUGGAAGAUGAGUGCACAGUAAUGGUGAGAAAGAACCCUUGUGGUCAUGAUUGCUCUAGUACAAAAAGAA